GACAGAGGGUGCAAACGUUGUUCGGAAUUACUGGGCGUAAAGCGCGUGUAGGCGGCCCGGAAAGUCGGAUGUGAAAGCCCUGGGCUUAACCUAGGAAGUGCAUUCGAAACUCCCGGGCUGGAGUUCUGGAGAGGAAGGCGGAAUUCUCGGUGUAGAGGUGAAAUUCGUAGAUAUCGAGAGGAACACCGGUGGCGAAGGCGGCCUUCUGGACAGUGACUGACGCUGAGACGCGAAAGCGUGGGGAGCAAACAGG
Molecule: ribosomal RNA, 253 nt
Filed under: uncultured bacterium
Lineage: Bacteria
Description: partial 16S ribosomal RNA
Rfam family: Bacterial small subunit ribosomal RNA
Source: RNAcentral